ACAGUAAAAUUGUAACUUUUUUUUUUUUCUUGGCUCCCUGACUGAGCUUUAUUUCUCCCUAGGUUUUCUGUCACCUGAUAGAGUUUGGCUUCAUUACCACUGAUGCUUUCUAUCUUGCUCAGCUUGGGUCUGAAAGUCUUGCUUUUCAGAAAUGCUAGUGGUCAAAUCAUGUCACUAAGAUUUAUUGAAAAGGCAGCCUCUCAUCCCCGCAUAGGGAGCAUACAUCCACAAACUCUGAUACGGCUUGAAAUAAUCAUCGCCAAAGAGAGUGGGACUGAAGAAAAUGAAUUUUCUUUUUACAAUAAAACAGAAUUUGAAGAGCCACACUCGAGUGAGGCAUUUUAAUACAGUAUGGCUCAUUAAACUCUGCUGACUUGGCCUGGGUGGCAGAUGAACAUUAGCUUCACAACUCAUAAUGUGGAACUGCAGUCUUGAGGCAAUUUGGGUGCUCUGCAGACCCCAUGAAGCUUUGAAACUAGUUUUUAUUCUAGGCAGAACUGUCAAUCAGGAUGCGAGCUGAAAAGAGUGAACCUUCUGACUGUAAUUUACGUGCCACACUUCACUACGCCAGAUGAAAAUCCCAUUUAUGAUUAAUCCGUACAGUGGAGACAGAUACUGCGUGUUCUGUCUGAGGAUCUCUGAAUGGAACCGUAAAUAUCACCGUCGUGUGUCAGCUCUUUUGUCUGUCAUAUUUAUGUAGAUGAAAAAGGUAGAAGUGAGGGUUUGGGGAAAGGAAAAAGCUUUUGAAUAUGAUUUGUUUACCCUUUUUUACUGCAGAGCAUUCCACUAGUUGUGGUUGUGCACUUGCUUUUUAAAUAAAUUCCAAUGUAUUGAUUACAUAGCAUGAUCAUCAACCUGAUUAUUUAAAAUACUUGAAUGUUUGAUUCUCUUUCUUUUCUGCCUUUUUAUUCUGAAGAAAGAAUGAAAAACAUGAUUUUCAUUGUAAUUCACAUAGUAAAAUAUCAUGGAUGUGUACGAGUGGAGCUUUGCUGUGUGCUCUGGAAUGAUAAAAGAAGGGAUGACAGUAAAUGUUUACUCUGAGUUUUCUUUGAAAAUCGUGCAAAGGUCUGUGUAAACAGCCAGCAUACUCGACCGCCUCAGUAACGAACUCGGCUAACAUCUAAACAAGCCAAAUUUUCUUAAAGAGACAGCAACAGCACCACCUGAAU
RNAcentral lists this long non-coding RNA (1169 nucleotides) under Danio rerio (zebrafish). RNAcentral describes it as "lncRNA (ENSDARG00000117523.1)". Lineage: Eukaryota; Metazoa; Chordata; Actinopteri; Cypriniformes; Danionidae. The record is from RNAcentral.